This is a ribosomal RNA of Pteropus vampyrus (large flying fox), 118 nucleotides long. NCBI's taxonomy places the organism in Eukaryota, Metazoa, Chordata, Mammalia, Chiroptera, Pteropodidae. The record is from Ensembl.
GUCUAUGGCCAUGCCAUCCUGAACACGCCCGAUCCAAUCUGAUCUUGGAAGCUAAGCAGGGUUGGGCCUGGUUAGUACUUGGAUGGGAGACCACCUAGGAAGACCAAUAAAAUAAACA